AGUGAACGCUGGCGGUAGGCCUAACACAUGCAAGUCGAACGGCAGCACAGUAAGAGCUUGCUCUUACGGGUGGCGAGUGGCGGACGGGUGAGGAAUACAUCGGAAUCUACUUUUUCGUGGGGGAUAACGUAGGGAAACUUACGCUAAUACCGCAUACGACCUACGGGUGAAAGCAGGGGAUAUUCGGACCUUGCGCGAUUGAAUGAGCCGAUGUCGGAUUAGCUAGUUGGCGGGGUAAAGGCCCACCAAGGCGACGAUCCGUAGCUGGUCUGAGAGGAUGAUCAGCCACACUGGAACUGAGACACGGUCCAGACUCCUACGGGAGGCAGCAGUGGGGAAUAUUGGACAAAGGGCGCAAGCCUGAUCCAGCCAUACCGCGUGAGUGAAGAAGGCCUUCGGGUUGUAAAGCCCUUUUGUUGGGAAAGAAAAGCAGCAGGUUAAUCCCCCGCUGUUCUGACGGUACCCAAAGAAUAAGCACCGGCUAACUUCGUG
RNAcentral lists this ribosomal RNA (492 nucleotides) under uncultured bacterium. Its description in RNAcentral is "partial 16S ribosomal RNA". It matches the Rfam family "Bacterial small subunit ribosomal RNA", at positions 29 to 507 of the family's 1533-position model. The record is from RNAcentral.